RNAcentral lists this ribosomal RNA (511 nucleotides) under uncultured Burkholderia sp. RNAcentral's name for it is "bacterial SSU rRNA". It matches the Rfam family "Bacterial small subunit ribosomal RNA", at positions 149 to 653 of the family's 1533-position model. The record is from RNAcentral. Lineage: Bacteria; Pseudomonadati; Pseudomonadota; Betaproteobacteria; Burkholderiales; Burkholderiaceae.
CUGCGAAAGCCGGAUUAAUACCGCAUACGCUCUGCGGAGGAAAGCGGGGGAUCCUUCGGGACCUCGCGCUACAGGGGCGGCCGAUGGCAGAUUAGCUAGUUGGUGGGGUAAAGGCCUACCAAGGCGACGAUCUGUAGCUGGUCUGAGAGGACGACCAGCCACACUGGGACUGAGACACGGCCCAGACUCCUACGGGAGGCAGCAGUGGGGAAUUUUGGACAAUGGGGGCAACCCUGAUCCAGCAAUGCCGCGUGUGUGAAGAAGGCCUUCGGGUUGUAAAGCACUUUUGUCCGGAAAGAAAACGUCGUGGCUAAUACCCGUGGCGGAUGACGGUACCGGAAGAAUAAGCACCGGCUAACUACGUGCCAGCAGUCGCGGUAAUACGUAGGGUGCAAGCGUUAAUCGGAAUUACUGGGCGUAAAGCGUGCGCAGGCGGUUCGCUAAGACAGAUGUGAAAUCCCCGGGCUUAACCUGGGAACUGCAUUUGUGACUGGCAAGCUAGAGUAUGGCA